Molecule: long non-coding RNA, 652 nt
Organism: Cavia porcellus (domestic guinea pig)
Lineage: Eukaryota; Metazoa; Chordata; Mammalia; Rodentia; Caviidae
Source: Ensembl
AAUCAUAGCAUGGGGAAAAUUCCCUGACUUACACAGAAUGGCUAAGAUGAAGAACUGAGGGUCUCAUUCUGGAUCUGAAGUGAUGGCCGUGCCUCCUCCACAGGGAAGAAAACCUCUGAGCAGAGAAGCACACAGUCCAGCCUUAACAGGAUAGUGAAAAUUUUUGGUUGAAAAUGAAGACCUCAGCACCGUAUUGCUCUACUUUGCUCUCAGACAGCAGCAGGAUCUGCAGAGCCCCACAACAAAGUUUCUCAGUACUGACAUCUGGACAGCACACAGGGAGGCCACACACAGAGAGAUUUGAAGCAACUUUGCUCAUGGGAGAGGCUUCCCAUCCUGCCCUUUACUAUGCCCACCAGGAGGCUUCCCUUCAAGUUCCAGAUAAAAACUCAACCUGUCUUGAUUCAUCUGGACCCUCAUUUCAGCAUUUCAAAAUGAGGCUCCCUGCUCAUUUCCUGGAGCUGGUAAUGCUCUGCAUCCCUGCACUGUACCCCCCGUGUCCCGAUCAGGCGUGUGUGCAUGUUUACCUUGCCCGGAGUUCAGAGUGCUCUAAGACACUCACGACAAGUGGCGCCCGAAUUCAGGGACUCCGAAGGUCGCUUAGGAAGGUAAGUAUAAUUUUAUUACGGGGAAAUGGGACAAUCUGCUUCCU